UAUUGUUUAUUUGAUAGUACCUUACUACUUGGAUAACCGUGGUAAUUCUAGAGCUAAUACAUGCUAAAAGCCCCGACUUCGGAAGGGGUGUAUUUAUUAGAUAAAAAACCAAUGCCCUUUGGGGCUCCUUGGUGAUUCACAAUAACUUAACGAAUCGCAUAGGCCUUGUGCCGGCGAUGGUUCAUUCAAAUUUCUGCCCUAUCAACUUUCGAUGGUAGUGUAUUGGACUACCAUGGUUUCAACGGGUAACGGGGAAUUAGGGUUCUAUUCCGGAGAGGGAGCCUGAGAAACGGCUACCACAUCCAAGGAAGGCAGCAGGCGCGCAGAUUACCCAAUCCCGACACGGGGAGGUAGUGACAAUAAAUACUGAUACAGGGCUCUUUUGGGUCUUGUAAUUGGAAUGAGUACAAUUUAAAUCCCUUAACGAGGAACAAUUGGAGGGCAAGUCUGGUGCCAGCAGCCGCGGUAAUUCCAGCUCCAAUAGCGUAUAUUAAAGUUGUUGCAGUUAAAAAGCUCGUAGUUGAACCUUGGGCCUGGCUGGCCGGUCCGCCUCAUCGCGUGCACCUGGUCCGGCCGGGCCUUUCCUCCUGGAGAGCCGCAUGCCCUUCGCUGGGUGUGUCGGGGAACCAGGACUUUUACUUUGAAAAAAUUAGAGUGUUCAAAGCAGGCCUAUGCUCGAAUACAUUAGCAUGGAAUAAUAGAAUAGGACGUGUGGUUCUAUUUUGUUGGUUUCUAGGACCGCCGUAAUGAUUAAUAGGGAUAGUCGGGGGCAUCAGUAUUCAAUUGUCAGAGGUGAAAUUCUUGGAUUUAUUGAAGACGUAACUACUGCGAAAGCAUUUGCCAAGGAUGUUUUCAUUAAUCAAGAACGAAAGUUAGGGGA
This 880-nucleotide ribosomal RNA is filed under the name Podosphaera xanthii. Its description in RNAcentral is "SSU rRNA". It matches the Rfam family "Eukaryotic small subunit ribosomal RNA", at positions 111 to 997 of the family's 1831-position model. Lineage: Eukaryota; Fungi; Ascomycota; Leotiomycetes; Helotiales; Erysiphaceae. The record is from RNAcentral.